CUAUUUAACCUAAGCUAUUGAUUCUGUUAUUUUGAGAUAUUUGGCAUGGCAUAUUUAAGAAUAUCAUUUUCUGAGUAUGGUUUUGAGAUAUAUAUAUGCAUUUUAAUUUCUGGGAAAUUAUAUAGGUUUUACGACGAGAGGUUAGAACUUUUGAUAAAUGAAAUGGUUUUGAAAAGCUUUGUUUUUGGCCACUCACACUUUCUGUUUUGCGCCCCUCCAUGUUCUAGUUAGGAGUGCUUGUCGGUGGCUUAAGAGGAAUUCACGGCAGCUUUGAUAGAUUAUCACCAAUGUAGAAUUAUCUUUGGUGUUGUAUAAUUAGUAUUCGUCCUGCUGGACUACACUUAGGCUACUU
This 352-nucleotide long non-coding RNA is filed under the name Malus domestica (apple). RNAcentral describes it as "long non-coding RNA (MDOM_LNC001642)". The record is from RNAcentral. Lineage: Eukaryota; Viridiplantae; Streptophyta; Magnoliopsida; Rosales; Rosaceae.